UAAACAGGAAGGACUAUGUACAUCGUUACUGUACAGGCCCCCGCAGUGACUGAUCGAAUCCAUAAAAUAUCCCGCUUCCUCCCCUCUAUCAUUCAUCCCGAACUCAUCUGGAUGAUAAUGUGGUCUUCCUCUCUUGUCCCAACAGAUGGCGCUAGUGCUGCACUGCUGAGCUUCUUCCUUCUUCCCCGACAGACAAACCUCCUAACUAAAACUGGAUUCCAACGUCCCCACUGACUGUCCUCUCUCUCUCUCACAAAGAGCUCACCUUCAGAUACCAAACCUUCCCUGACCACUGCCGAGUGAUAGCUCC
Molecule: long non-coding RNA, 310 nt
Organism: Astatotilapia calliptera (eastern happy)
Lineage: Eukaryota; Metazoa; Chordata; Actinopteri; Cichliformes; Cichlidae
Source: Ensembl